RNAcentral lists this small RNA (571 nucleotides) under Pongo abelii (Sumatran orangutan). RNAcentral's name for it is "processed transcript". The record is from RNAcentral. Lineage: Eukaryota; Metazoa; Chordata; Mammalia; Primates; Hominidae.
CUUCACAUUUUGACUGCUUUCCCUGGUUCUGUGAAUUCCUUCCAAGUUGCUGCCAUCUUUCCACUAAUAAGCUGCCCAAUACACUGUACCGGUCACCUCUCCGGAGCCUCUCAUGGCCUCCUGGAUGCUCUUCAGCCUCUAUUCUGGAAAAACCAAGUCUUAUACCACCCACUACAAUGCUCUUUCAGCCCUGUGCUCUCCAGGUGGCCUUGGGCUGUUACCUCUUGUCGUUCAUCACCCCUACCACCUUGGCAAGAUUAAGAUUGUUAAUAAAGAUGUUAACACGUUCUCUAGGCCUCACUCCAACCUCGCCAUAGCUGGCCCGCUAUCUGAGGCCCUCUGCUCAAGAAAAGAAACUGCAUUUUAUCAUAAGUUCUGUUGUUUACCGUCUCCUGAUGGCCUGGAGCUUUUGGCUGUCUUGCUUAAAUGUGACUCAAAGCAGUUAAAAAAUAAAGAAGGAAAUAAAAUGAAAAACAACAACGGAAAGAAGAAAAGGGCAACCUCAGCCUGAUGAAAUACUUGGGAGAGUGAGACCUAUCCCUCUCCGGAAUAAAUUGCUAGUUGUCUUUCA